CAGGGCACAGCAUGGACAUGAGGGUCCCCACUCAGCUCCUGGGGCUCCUGCUGCUCUGCCUACCAGGUAUCAGAUGUGACAUUCAGAUGACCCAGUCUCCAUCCUCCGUGUCUGCAUCUCCAGGAGAAACUGUGACCAUCUCUUGCCGGGCCAGUCAGGGCAUUAGCAAUUAUUUAUCCUGGUACCAGCAGAAACCAGGGAAACCUCCUAAGUCCCUGAUCUAUGCAGCAUCCAACUUAUACCCCGGGGUCUCAUCGAGGUUCAGUGGCAGUGGGUCUGGAACAGAUUUUUCUCUCACCAUUAGAGGCCUGGAGACUGAUGAUGCUGCAACAUAUUACUGUCAUCAGGGUUAUAGUACCCCUCACACAGUGUUACAAGGCCGAACAAAAACCCCCCAGGGAAGCAGAUGUGGGAGGCGGGGCUGCCGCAGCUGCUCCUCCUGGAGCUGCACCUCCUGGUGCCUCCAUCUGCCCAGAGCUUUUCUUAGAGACAGCCAAGCUGUGAAGGUUUUGGUAGACAGGGCCAGGGAGGCUCCUCGGUGUUCUAACUCUUCCUUCUCAGCCUCAGCAGUGCAGACAUGA
This is a non-coding RNA of Microcebus murinus (gray mouse lemur), 581 nucleotides long. The record is from the annotation of a RefSeq genome assembly. Lineage: Eukaryota; Metazoa; Chordata; Mammalia; Primates; Cheirogaleidae.